RNAcentral lists this ribosomal RNA (429 nucleotides) under Chloroflexota bacterium. RNAcentral describes it as "Chloroflexi bacterium partial 16S ribosomal RNA". It matches the Rfam family "Bacterial small subunit ribosomal RNA", at positions 355 to 776 of the family's 1533-position model. The record is from RNAcentral. Lineage: Bacteria; Bacillati; Chloroflexota.
UGGGGAAUAUUGCACAAUGGGCGCAAGCCUGAUGCAGCCAUGCCGCGUGUGUGAAGAAGGCCUUCGGGUUGUAAAGCACUUUCAGCGGGGAGGAAGGCGUUAAGGUUAAUAACCUUGGCGAUUGACGUUACCCGCAGAAGAAGCACCGGCUAACUCCGUGCCAGCAGCCGCGGUAAUACGGAGGGUGCAAGCGUUAAUCGGAAUUACUGGGCGUAAAGCGCACGCAGGCGGUUUGUUAAGUCAGAUGUGAAAUCCCCGGGCUCAACCUGGGAACUGCAUCUGAGACUGGCAAGCUUGAGUCUCGUAGAGGGGGGUAGAAUUCCAGGUGUAGCGGUGAAAUGCGUAGAGAUCUGGAGGAAUACCGGUGGCGAAGGCGGCCCCCUGGACGAAGACAGACGCUCAGGUGCGAAAGCGUGGGGAGCAAACAGG